RNAcentral lists this ribosomal RNA (292 nucleotides) under uncultured Planctomycetota bacterium. Its description in RNAcentral is "uncultured planctomycete partial 16S ribosomal RNA". Lineage: Bacteria; Pseudomonadati; Planctomycetota. The record is from RNAcentral.
GGACUACCAGGGUAUCUAAUCCCGUUCGCUACCCUAGCUUUCGUGCCUCAGCGUCAGAAAAGACCCAGUACGCCGCUUUCGCCACCGGUGUUCCUUAGGAUAUCAACGCAUUUCACCGCUCCACCCUAAGUUCCGCGUACCUCUAUCUUUCUCAAGCACAGCAGUUUCGGGCGCAGUUCUCCAGUUGAGCUGGAGGAUUUCACACCCGACUUUCUGCACCGCCUACGCACCCUUUAAGCCCAGUAAUUCCGAAUAACGUUAGCAAGGUUCGUCUUACCGCGGCGGCUGGCAC